This 628-nucleotide long non-coding RNA is filed under the name Mytilus galloprovincialis (Mediterranean mussel). The record is from RNAcentral. Lineage: Eukaryota; Metazoa; Mollusca; Bivalvia; Mytilida; Mytilidae.
UCUUUUCCAAUUUUUUCCCAGUCUGCUUUCUUGUAAAUCAAUACUUUGUGUGGUGACUGUUUGGCUUUUGAAAGGGAAAGAUUUAUUUCACUGAAGAUUAUGUCAUGGUCACCUAGUGGUGGUAAUGUUUCUACUCUGUUUACUAGGGAUGGAUUUGACAUGCACAGUAGAUCAAGUGUGCGUUCAUUUCUUGUUGGUUUGUCAACUACCUGUGUGAGAUUGUGAUCUUGUAAUAUAUCUAAUAGGUGUUGAUGAAGAGAAGGAUCUGGUUUGCUAGGUAUUACUGAUGAAUUUGACCAGUCAAUAUUGCCUAAAUUGAAAUCGCCACUGAGCAUGAUAUUUGCACUGGAUAUGUUGCAUAUCCUAUUUAGUGAGGUACCUAGAUGUUCUAGUGAUUCCCCUUUUUCUGAUGGUGGUCUAUAAUAUGCUCCAAGAUAGGUGGUUUUAUUUCCCGUUGGAGUUAUUUUUGCCCAUAUUAAUUCGCAAUCUGUGUCUAAUUCAGGCACAUGUGAUGUAAUAAGUGUGUUUGUGAUUGCGAGUAGCACACCUCCAUAGCCAUCUUUCCUGUUUUUGGUGUAGAUGGUGUAUUUGGAUGGAGAAAUAUAUUCAUAUGCUGAUGUGUCAUUUG